AACGAACGCUGGCGGCAGGCCUAACACAUGCAAGUCGAACGAGAAGCUAUCCUUCGGGGUAGUGGAAAGUGGCAGACGGGUGAGUAACGCGUGGGAACGUGCCUUUCGGUUCGGAAUAACUCAGGGAAACUUGGGCUAAUACCGGAUACGCCCUUCGGGGGAAAGAUUUAUCGCCGAAAGAUCGGCCCGCGUCGGAUUAGCUUGUUGGUGAGGUAAAAGCUCACCAAGGCGACGAUCCGUAGCUGGUCUGAGAGGAUGAUCAGCCACACUGGGACUGAGACACGGCCCAGACUCCUACGGGAGGCAGCAGUAGGGAAUAUUGGCAAU
RNAcentral lists this ribosomal RNA (327 nucleotides) under uncultured bacterium. RNAcentral describes it as "bacterial SSU rRNA". It matches the Rfam family "Bacterial small subunit ribosomal RNA", at positions 29 to 372 of the family's 1533-position model. The record is from RNAcentral.